This 1118-nucleotide small RNA is filed under the name Rattus norvegicus (Norway rat). RNAcentral describes it as "uncharacterized LOC102554726". Lineage: Eukaryota; Metazoa; Chordata; Mammalia; Rodentia; Muridae. The record is from RNAcentral.
CCCUUUACUGCCUCCCCUGGUCUCUAGAAUCCCGCUGCUCUAAAUUCGCCUGUCUUUGCUUUAGAAUUCACUCCUCAGCCCAUACUUGGUGCUACAGCAUUCCUUUGAAUGGGGUCAGAAUGAAUGGGUUCUCAUGUCUAGUAAACGCAAUGACAAAGUACUUAGCUGAAUUUGUUUUCAAAUCAAUAGAUACUUUUUUCUAGAGGUUGGAAUACUCUAACACUUAUUUAGAUAUCACAUACUAAAAGCUCAUCCAUCGCUUACUAAAAAUUCAAGUGGAGCUGGGGCACCCCAUGUAGAACACAUUGAGCUGCCUUAAAGUUAAAAAAGGCCCCACCGUGUUGCUGCAGCACUCAAGCCUGGAGUUAUCUGACUCCUCUGUCCCUCCUCCCCAGACCCUUCCAUCUAGAGAGCUCUGAUAGGAACCGGGCUAUUCUGGGAAAUUGCAAGGACCUGGUGACAUGGAAGAGAGGCGAGGGCACCAGUGACCUCAGAAUGGGUAGGCUGGUGGGAGUGUGGAAGGCAGGCCACAGGCUUUGCAUAGGGGACCGUCGAAUGGUCUCGUUACCCAGAGCCGGACCCAAUAUGGAUGGGGAGUAGGUCUCUCUCUCUCUGAAUUUCCCCCUGUCACUGCUCAGCGCCAGCGGUUUGAUGGACAGCCUCAGGGUCUUUAUCUCUUGCUGUACUGCCUCUCUUCCAGGAGUUCAUUUGGUGAUGUCGACUCCCCUGAUAAGGUGUGUGUGGAAUAUGUUUCUGCUGUCACCGUAGCCUCCAUCUGUUCCUGAUUCACAGCACUCUCAGGAAGGGGACCUUUUUCUCUGAGGAAAAUGUAAUGUGGCCCUUACCAGAGUCUGAGUUGAUGGUGGACGAUCCAACGAUCUUGGAAGCUCUGCCUUUUGAGAGUCUUAUAAGCCAUCUCAGAGGCAAGCCUCCACUUUUACACUUGCCAAUAGAUGCCGCACAUGUAUGCUCACUGGAUAUUUUUGUGUCAAAGACUGUGGUCUACUCCCUAACCAUUUUUUUUCUUUUCAACAUUACUAUUUUGUUUAGGAAAACAAUUCUUUAUUUGGACAAACAGUCUAGACUGAAGUAAAAAAAAAACCCGUACCAUCUCAUGA